AGUGGCGAAAGGGCGAGUAAUGCGCUUCUACGUGCCCCGAGGUGGAGGAUAGGGCGGGGAAACUCGCCGUAAUACUCCAUGUGCUCUACGGAGGAAAGCUUUUGCGCCUCGGGAGCGGGGAGCGCCCUAUCAGGUAGUUGGCGGGGUAACGGCCCACCAAGCCGAAGACGGGUAGCGGGUGUGAGAGCACGACUCGCCGCAUCGGGACUGAGACACUGCCCGGACUCCUACGGGAGGCUGCAGCAACGAAUAUUCCGCAAUGCACGAAAGUGUGACGGAGCAAUGCCGCGUGCAGGAUGAAGCGGCUUCGCCGUGUAAACUGCUGUCAGGGGUCAGAAACACUGAUCGACCCCAAAGGAAGAGCCGGCUAACCCUGUGCCAGCAGCCGCGGUAAUACAGGGGGCUCAAGCGUUAAUCGGAAUCACUGGGCUUAAAGGGUGCGCAGGCGGACGCGAAAGUGUCCUGUGAAAUCCCCCGGCUCAACCGGGGAAUUGCGGGGCAAACUACGCGUCUCGAGGCGGGUAGAGGCUGUCGGAACGCUACGUGGAGCGGAGAAAUGCGUAGAGAUGUAGCGGAACGCCAAAGGUGAAGACAGGCAGCUGGGCCCGUCCCGACGCUCAGGCACGAAAGCGUGGGGAGCAAACGGGAUUAGAUACCCCGGUAGUCCACGCCCUAAACGAUGCGCGCUAGAUCGGU
RNAcentral lists this ribosomal RNA (696 nucleotides) under uncultured Phycisphaera sp. RNAcentral's name for it is "bacterial SSU rRNA". It matches the Rfam family "Bacterial small subunit ribosomal RNA", at positions 94 to 825 of the family's 1533-position model. The record is from RNAcentral. Lineage: Bacteria; Pseudomonadati; Planctomycetota; Phycisphaerae; Phycisphaerales; Phycisphaeraceae.